AUUCCUACGGGAGGCAGCAGUGAGGAAUAUUGGUCAAUGGACGUAAGUCUGAACCAGCCAUCCCGCGUGCAGGAAGAAGGCGCUAUGCGUCGUAAACUGCUUUUCCAGGGGAAGAAAACCCGCUACGUGUAGCGGCUUGCCGGUACCCUGGGAAUAAGCAUCGGCUAACUCCGUGCCAGCAGCCGCGGUAAUACGGAGGAUGCGAGCGUUAUCCGGAUUUAUUGGGUUUAAAGGGUGCGUAGGCGGAUUAAUAAGUCAGUGGUGAAAACCUUCAGCUUAACUGGAGACUUGCCAUUGAUACUGUUAGUCUUGAGUACGGUCAAGGUAGGCGGAAUGUGUAAUGUAGCGGUGAAAUGCUUAGAUAUUACACAGAACACCGAUUGCGAAGGCAGCUUACUGGGCCAUUACUGACGCUGAGGCACGAAAGCGUGGGGAGCGAACAGGAUUAGAUACCCUGGUAGUCCACGCCGUAAACGAUGAUCACUCGCUGUUGGCGAUACACAGUCAGCGGCUAAGCAAAAGCAUUAAGUGAUCCACCUGGGGAGUACGGCCGCAAGGCUGAAACUCAAAGGAAUUGACGGGGGCCCGCACAAGCGGAGGAACAUGUGGUUUAAUUCGAUGAUACGCGAGGAACCUUACCUGGGCUUAAAUGUAGAGUGCAUGGGGUAGAAAUAUCCCUUUCCUUCGGGACUCUUUGCAAGGUGCUGCAUGGUUGUCGUCAGCUCGUGCCGUGAGGUGUCGGGUUAAGUCCCAUAACGAGCGCAACCCUUAUCGUUAGUUGCCAGCGGGUAAUGCCGGGAACUCUAACGAAACUGCCGGUGUAAACCGUGAGGAAGGUGGGGAUGACGUCAAAUCAGCACGGCCCUUAUGUCCAGGGCUACACACGUGUUACAAUGGCCGGUACAGAGGGCAGCUACCUGGAGACAGGAUGCGAAUCUCCAAAGCCGGUCUCAGUUCGGAUCGGAGUCUGCAACUCGACUCCGUGAAGCUGGAUUCGCUAGUAAUCGCGCAUCAGCCAUGGCGCGGUGAAUACGUUCCC
This 1039-nucleotide ribosomal RNA is filed under the name uncultured Cytophagales bacterium. RNAcentral's name for it is "bacterial SSU rRNA". It matches the Rfam family "Bacterial small subunit ribosomal RNA", at positions 335 to 1375 of the family's 1533-position model. Lineage: Bacteria; Pseudomonadati; Bacteroidota; Sphingobacteriia; Sphingobacteriales. The record is from RNAcentral.